Long non-coding RNA from Monopterus albus (swamp eel), 358 nucleotides. RefSeq lists it as uncharacterized. The record is from RefSeq and is a predicted model, not a curated record. NCBI's taxonomy places the organism in Eukaryota, Metazoa, Chordata, Actinopteri, Synbranchiformes, Synbranchidae. The transcript has 3 exons.
UUUUACACCCCUACCUCUUAGAGUUGAGAUCUCCCGAUGUCAAAGUUGACCCACAGGGCUGUCACGGCUUUGUUACCUUUGUUGCCCUUAAAUGUUGUGAAUAGAAGAGCAGGGCAGAUGAAUAUAUAACAAAUAUCUGUACAGAAGGAACCACUCUACACGUUAGCAGUAACAGCAAAGACAAACCACCCAAAAGAUGGAAGAAAAGAUGAAGGGAUCACUGCCUGUUAUCUCCCCGGAGUAUCUUCAACAGUGGGUUCAGUCUGCACAGCAGUUUCACGCUCUCCAGGCCCAGUAUUCAGGCUUUAACCCCAAGCAUCAGUUUCACUACCCUGAAAGGCCGAUGGAAGAGACAGCA